GACGAACGCUGGCGGCGUGCUUAACACAUGCAAGUCGAACGGAAAGGCCCUGCUUUUGUGGGGUGCUCGAGUGGCGAACGGGUGAGUAACACGUGAGUAACCUGCCCUUGACUUUGGGGUAACUUCAGGAAACUGGGGCUAAUACCGGAUAGGAGCUCCUGCUGCAUGGUGGGGGUUGGAAAGUUUCGGCGGUUGGGGAUGGACUCGCGGCUUAUCAGCUUGUUGGUGGGGUAGUGGCUUACCAAGGCUUUGACGGGUAGCCGGCCUGAGAGGGUGACCGGCCACAUUGGGACUGAGGUACGGCCCAGACUCCUACGGGAGGCAGCAGUGGGGAAUAUUGCACAAUGGGCGGAAGCCUGAUGCAGCAACGCCGCGUGCGGGAUGACGGCCUUCGGGUUGUAAACCGCUUUCGCCUGUGACGAAGCGUGAGUGACGGUAAUGGGUAAAGAAGCACCGGCUAACUACGUG
This 468-nucleotide ribosomal RNA is filed under the name uncultured bacterium. RNAcentral's name for it is "partial 16S ribosomal RNA". It matches the Rfam family "Bacterial small subunit ribosomal RNA", at positions 28 to 507 of the family's 1533-position model. The record is from RNAcentral.